CACGUAGGGCGCGAGCGUUGUCCGGAAUUAUUGGGCGUAAAGAGCUCGUAGGCGGCUUGUCGCGUCGGAUGUGAAAGCCCGGGGCUUAACUCCGGGUCUGCAUUCGAUACGGGCAGGCUAGAGUUCGGUAGGGGAGAUCGGAAUUCCUGGUGUAGCGGUGAAAUGCGCAGAUAUCAGGAGGAACACCGGUGGCGAAGGCGGGUCUCUGGGCCGUUACUGACGCUGAGGAACGAAAGCGUGGGGAGCGAACAGG
RNAcentral lists this ribosomal RNA (253 nucleotides) under uncultured bacterium. Its description in RNAcentral is "partial 16S ribosomal RNA". It matches the Rfam family "Bacterial small subunit ribosomal RNA", at positions 524 to 776 of the family's 1533-position model. The record is from RNAcentral.